CCCAGACUCCUACGGGAGGCAGCAGUGGGGAAUAUUGGACAAUGGGGGGAAUCCUGAUCCAGCGACGCCGCGUGAGUGAAGAAGUAUUUCGGUAUGUAAAGCUCUAUCAGCAGGGAAGAAAGAAAUGACGGUACCUGACUAAGAAGCCCCGGCUAACUACGUGCCAGCAGCCGCGGUAAUACGUAGGGGGCAAGCGUUAUCCGGAUUUACUGGGUGUAAAGGGAGCGUAGACGGCGAUGCAAGUCUGAAGUGAAAGGCGGGGGCCCAACCCCCGGACUGCUUUGGAAACUGUAUGGCUGGAGUGCAGGAGAGGUAAGUGGAAUUCCUAGGGUAGCGGUGAAAUGCGUAGAUAUUAGGAGGAACCCCAGUGGCGAAGGCGGCCUGCUGGACCGUGACUGACGUUGAGGCCCGAAGGCGUGGGGAGCAAACAGGAUUAGAUACCCCCCUAA
This 449-nucleotide ribosomal RNA is filed under the name uncultured bacterium. RNAcentral describes it as "partial 16S ribosomal RNA". It matches the Rfam family "Bacterial small subunit ribosomal RNA", at positions 330 to 793 of the family's 1533-position model. The record is from RNAcentral.